AUGCUUGUCAAUGGCAGACAUAGAAAGAAACACAUAUUCACCCUUGACCAGGAGGAAGGCCAAAUUGAGGGGGACAUACCUCUUAGAACUUUUAUUACUAAGUAUUACAAAGAGCUUUUUGGACCUUCAGCUGAAUCAAAUUUUCAGCUGGAUGAAUCCAUUACUCAUGACAUUCCUCAAGUUACGGAAGCGGAAAAUGAAUUCCUAACCUCCCCGUUCUCUGAGGAGGAAAUUCGAACCGCGGUGUUUCAAAUGGGACACAACAAGGCUCCGGGUCCGGAUGGCUUUCCCGUAGAGUUCUAUCAAUGUUUUUGGGACGUCUUUAAGGCAGACUUGGUUCAGUUGUUUAACCAACUGCAUGCUGAAGACCUUGACAUUUCUCGUUUAAACUUUGGGGAAAUUAUCCUAUUGCCAAAGAUCGAGGAGGCUAGUCAUAUUCAACUAUAUCGACCAAUUUGCCUUCUGAAUGUAAGUUUUAAAAUCUUUAUGAAGGUCGCAACUAAUCGGUUAAACGGGGUGGCUGACCAUGUCGUAAAACCCACUCAAACAACAUUUAUGCAAGGCCGCAACAUAUUAGAUGGAGUGGUCGUCUUGCACGAAACUGUACAUGAGCUUCACUGA
RNAcentral lists this ribosomal RNA (621 nucleotides) under Triticum aestivum (bread wheat). RNAcentral describes it as "partial small subunit ribosomal RNA". The record is from RNAcentral. Lineage: Eukaryota; Viridiplantae; Streptophyta; Magnoliopsida; Poales; Poaceae.